GGAUCCCCCGGGCUGCACCCAAUGUGGAAUUCGCCCUUGUGCCAGCCGCCGCGUUAAUACGUAGGUGGCAAGCGUUGUCCGGAAUUAUUGGGCGUAAAGGGCUCGCAGGCGGUUUCUUAAGUCUGAUGUGAAAGCCCCCGGCUCAACCGGGGAGGGUCAUUGGAAACUGGGGAACUUGAGUGCAGAAGAGGAGAGUGGAAUUCCACGUGUAGCGGUGAAAUGCGUAGAGAUGUGGAGGAACACCAGUGGCGAAGGCGACUCUCUGGUCUGUAACUGACGCUGAGGAGCGAAAGCGUGGGGAGCGAACAGGAUUAGAUACCCUGGUAGUCCACGCCGUAAACGAUGAGUGCUAAGUGUUAGGGGGUUUCCGCCCCUUAGUGCUGCAGCUAACGCAUUAAGCACUCCGCCUGGGGAGUACGGUCGCAAGACUGAAACUCAAAGGAAUUGACGGGGGCCCGCACAAGCGGUGGAGCAUGUGGUUUAAUUCGAAGCAACGCGAAGAACCUUACCAGGUCUUGACAUCCUCUGACAAUCCUAGAGAUAGGACGUCCCCUUCGGGGGCAGAGUGACAGGUGGUGCAUGGUUGUCGUCAGCUCGUGUCGUGAGAUGUUGGGUUAAGUCCCGCAACGAGCGCAACCCUUGAUCUUAGUUGCCAGCAUUCAGUUGGGCACUCUAAGGUGACUGCCGGUGACAAACCGGAGGAAGGUGGGGAUGACGUCAAAUCAUCAUGCCCCUUAUGACCUGGGCUACACACGUGCUACAAUGGACAGA
This 771-nucleotide ribosomal RNA is filed under the name uncultured bacterium. RNAcentral describes it as "bacterial SSU rRNA". It matches the Rfam family "Bacterial small subunit ribosomal RNA", at positions 461 to 1238 of the family's 1533-position model. The record is from RNAcentral.